RNAcentral lists this ribosomal RNA (244 nucleotides) under uncultured bacterium. RNAcentral describes it as "partial 16S ribosomal RNA". It matches the Rfam family "Bacterial small subunit ribosomal RNA", at positions 113 to 353 of the family's 1533-position model. The record is from RNAcentral.
ACGCGUGGGUAACCUGCCUCACACAGGGGGAUAGCAGUUGGAAACGGCUGAUAAUACCGCAUAAGCGCACAGUACCGCAUGGUACAGAGGGAAAAGGAGCAAUCCGCUUUGAGAUGGCCUCGCGUCCGAUUAGCUAGUUGGUGAGGUAACGGCUCACCAAGGCGACGAUCAGUAGCCGGCUUGAGAGAGUGAACGGCCACAUUGGGACUGAGACACGGCCCAAACUCCUACGGGAGGCAGCAUG